Mirounga angustirostris (Northern elephant seal) is the source of this 1817-nucleotide long non-coding RNA. RefSeq lists it as uncharacterized. The transcript has 2 exons. The record is from RefSeq and is a predicted model, not a curated record. Lineage: Eukaryota; Metazoa; Chordata; Mammalia; Carnivora; Phocidae.
CGGGAGGCCGUCGAAGGCGAAAGCCAACAUGAAGCCCGGGGAGUUGGCCUCCGUGCAAUCAAGCACCACCUGCUGAGGGAAGCGCUGGAAUUCCCUGGUGGGCCGUGGGGUCCACACCAUGAGCCAAGCUAGACAGAUGAGCAGCUGGGCCAUUGAGCUGAUGACCACAAAUAGGCUGGGACCAUGGUUUUGGACCCAGGCAUGGUAGAAGAAUUCAGUCUGGCGGCAGGUAUUCUCCAACCUGUACCUAACUGCAGCGAAGUGAGCAAGGCCCUGGUUCUGCACAUGUGUGGCCCACGGGGGAUCCCCUCAUCUGCUCUGUGGGCCCUAGGAGUGCCCAGUCAUUCGCCCACUCACUUGGUCACUCACCACUCUUGUUGAGGAAGGUCCCCGCCUCCCAGGGCACACACUCAAAGCAACAGUGGCGGAAACCCACGAUGACUCGCUGGUGUCCUUCAAGACAGUCGCUGGAGCACACAGACUUAGGCACCUGCAAGAAGCCACAGGUGUUCUGUAACCACAUGGAGUGGCUCAAGUCGAGGGAUGCUCACAUGGAAUGGGAAACAAUCUCUGUACAUCUGCUUUCACAGCUCACUCCCAGGGCAGAGCCCCUGGUUUCAUAAACCUGCAGCAGCCGGCCAUCUGGGUGCUGCCCGGGAAGCUGGAUAGGGCCAUGUUGGCCUCGUACCUGGGAUCCCCCUCCUGCUCGUCCACAGUAUCCUCAGGCAUCAGGCUAUCCAUGAGGCAGUCCCCUUGUGAGUGACCAUGUCUCUGUUACCUUGUUGUCCUUUCUGUGCCACCGGAUUUUGGUUUUAUUUAUGUCCGGCUGAACUGGAGGCCAUGUGGAAGAACCGAUGACCCUAAAGUUCCACUUGGGACCACUCCAGUCCCAAGCAAUUAUGUCAUAGCCCAAGCAAUUAUGUUAGCCGUUGUCAUUAAAUAUCACAAUAUCGCUGUGUAGAAGGAAAUUCACUUUGCGGAUCUGCUCCAGAAGCUGAAAUAAACAGGGACCAGGGAGCUGCCAUAGAUGAAAAAGGCUGUUCCUCCUCAACCGCCCAGACCUGGAAGGCUCAGGAAGCAAGUGCCUGGGGCCUUGUGCUUCUAUUUAGGUGGUUUCAGUCCAUCUGGAAAUUCAGAGCCCUCCUUCCCCUCCAAGGAAGCCCCUCAACCCUCCCAACUAGCCUCCUGAGAGGAAGCUUCUUCUUUUAUUUUUUUUUAGGAUUUUAUUUAUUUAUUUGACAGAGAGAGACAGUGAGAGAGGGAACACAAGCAGGGGGAGUGGGAGAGGGAGAAGCAGGCUUCCCACCGAGCAGGGAGCCCGAUGCGGGGCUCAAUCCCAGGACCCUGGGAUCAAGACCUGAGCUGAAGGCAGACGCUUAACGACUGAGCCCCCUGAGAGGAAUCUUUUAACGAAGGACCCCUUUACAGUGAUUUUUAGUCCUGGAUCUGAAGCAUGGUGAGUGGGAGGGGCUCAGGUUCAGAGAAGUGAAACCUAAGAGAGGGGAUCAGCCCUCUGAUCGGUAACCUUUGUCCCGCACUCCUAGCACUUAGUUGGCCAGAAAGUAAUCACUCUGCUUGCCUCAGGAAAGCACCCCCUUUCAGGGUGCCAGGGGCUGGUCUACCUUACCUGCCAGGGAUAGAUUCGGUCUCUGGAACAGGCUCCGGAGGCACAGCCCAGGAGCUGGUGGAGGCCAUGGGCCACUGUGUAGACAGCCCGGUAGGCGUUGUAGGCAGAGCUCAUGGAGAAUGCUCCAAGUGUGGGCAUCUGCUGUGUCGUGAAAGCCAGACACUCUCUGCAGAGUUGGUUGCUGCUGCAC